AAGACAUUUGGUCAUUUUUGUAAAAACCAUGGAAUGAAUCCAUCAGUAAUUGUGAAUUGAUUGCAGUGCCUGGGGGAAAUCUGUCAGGAAAUUUAAGGGGAUGACACAGAUGCCAUCUUGGAAGGAGUAGGAGUAAAGUAAAAUCAACAAACCAAAGCACUCCAGAAAGAAAAAGGUACACGGAGAAUGGAUGAACGAGAAGAAAGAAUUGUUGGGUAUCACUGGAACUGGUUAUUCUUCAUUUUACACAUUAGCUACAACAUAAGAGAGGAAGACUAAAAUUCUCUUUGAAUUUUAUACAUAUCCAUAUCCAUAAUAUCCAUAAGAAUUUAAUCAAACAUACACUGAGUAAAAAUAUGGCUGAGUCAUAUGAAUUUACUUUAAAAAAUAGAAG
This is a long non-coding RNA of Sarcophilus harrisii (Tasmanian devil), 394 nucleotides long. RefSeq lists it as uncharacterized. The transcript is spliced from 3 exons. NCBI's taxonomy places the organism in Eukaryota, Metazoa, Chordata, Mammalia, Dasyuromorphia, Dasyuridae. The record is from RefSeq and is a predicted model, not a curated record.